This 301-nucleotide ribosomal RNA is filed under the name uncultured bacterium. RNAcentral's name for it is "partial 16S ribosomal RNA". It matches the Rfam family "Bacterial small subunit ribosomal RNA", at positions 509 to 807 of the family's 1533-position model. The record is from RNAcentral.
CAGCCGCCACGGGAAUACAGAGGGUGCAAGCGUUAAUCGGAUUUACUGGGCGUAAAGCGUGCGUAGGCGGUUCGUUAAGUCGGAUGUGAAAUCCCUGGGCUCAACCUAGGAAUUGCAUUCGAUACUGGCAGACUGGAAAUCGGUAGAGGGAGGUGGAACUCCAGGUGUAGCGGUGAAAUGCGUAGAUAUCUGGAAGAACACCGAUGGCGAAGGCAGCCUCCUGGGCCUGAUUUGACGCUGAGGCACGAAAGCGUGGGGAGCAAACAGGAUUAGAUACCCGCGUAGUCCCUGUCUCUUAUAC